This 424-nucleotide long non-coding RNA is filed under the name Rattus norvegicus (Norway rat). RNAcentral's name for it is "long non-coding RNA NONRATT008124". Lineage: Eukaryota; Metazoa; Chordata; Mammalia; Rodentia; Muridae. The record is from RNAcentral.
CACUGAGGAAAGAAAUUGAAGAAGACCUCAGAAGAUGGAAAGAUCUCCCAUGCUCAUGGAUUGGCAGGAUUAAUAUAGUAAAAAUGGCCAUUUUACCAAAAGCGAUCCACAGAUUCAAUGCAAUCCCCAUCAAAAUACCAAUCCAAUUCUUCAAAGAGUUAGACAGAACAAUUUGCAAAUUCAUCUGGAAUAACAAAAAACCCAGGAUAGCUAAAGCUAUCCUCAACAAUAAAAGGACUUCAGGGGGAAUCACUAUCCCUGAACUCAAGCAGUAUUACAGAGCAAUAGUGAUAAAAACUGCAUGGUAUUGGUACAGAGACAGACAGAUAGACCAAUGGAAUAGAAUUGAAGACCCAGAAAUGAACCCACACACCUAUGGUCACUUGAUUUUUGACAAGGGAGCCAAAACCAUCCAAUGGAAAAA